CCUGGUGUUCAUGGCACUGUGGACCCACUCCGAUCCAUCUCGAACUCGGUUGUGAAACGCAGUAGCGGCGACGAUAGUUGGAGGGAAGCUUCCUGCAAAAAUAGCUCGAUGCCAGGA
Ribosomal RNA from Synechococcus sp. SynAce01, 117 nucleotides. NCBI's taxonomy places the organism in Bacteria, Bacillati, Cyanobacteriota, Cyanophyceae, Synechococcales, Synechococcaceae. The record is from Rfam.